RNAcentral lists this ribosomal RNA (326 nucleotides) under uncultured Butyrivibrio sp. RNAcentral's name for it is "bacterial SSU rRNA". It matches the Rfam family "Bacterial small subunit ribosomal RNA", at positions 28 to 339 of the family's 1533-position model. The record is from RNAcentral. Lineage: Bacteria; Bacillati; Bacillota; Clostridia; Lachnospirales; Lachnospiraceae.
GAUGAACGCUGGCGGCGUGCCUAACACAUGCAAGUCGAGCGGAGAGGCAGCGGAGAUUCAAUCGAUGAUCUGCUUCUUCUUAGCGGCGGAUAGGUGAGUAACACGUGGGUAACCUGCCCUGCACUGGGGGAUAACAGUUGGAAACGACUGUUAAUACCGCAUAUGCGCACGGGACCGCAUGGUCCUGGGCGGAAAGAUUUAUCGGUGCAGGAUGGGCCCGCGUCGGAUUAACUGGUUGGUGAGGUAAUGGCCCACCAAGGUGAUGAUCCGUAGCCGACCUGAGAGGGUGACCGGCCACAUUGGGACUGAGACACGGCCCAAACUCC